AAUAUUGGUCAAUGGCCUAACGGCUGAACUGGCAACUUCGGAGNACGGAGAAGAUUACUGAUAUAAAAGUAUGUUCUUACUCUAAAUCGGUUUGUCGAAUAAAGUUCUAACUGCAUAUUGAUUAUGACGAUAUGCAUAUUUAUGCCUUGACUAAUUACGUGCCAGCAGUCGCGGUAAUACGUAAGAGGCUAGUGUUAUUCAUCUUAAAUAGGUUUAAAGGGUACGUAGACGGUAGUAAAUGUCCUAACAGGAUACAUCUCUACUAGAGUUUUAUAUGAGGAGAGUCGUACUUAUGGUGUAGAGAUGAAAUUUGUUGAUACUGUAGGGACUGGUAAAGGCGAAGGCAACCUCUUAUGUAAAAACUGACGUUCAGGGACGAAGGCACAGAGAACGAACAGGAUUAGGUACCCCAGUAGUCUUUGCAGAGAAUGAUGAAUGCCAUAAAUUAGGUAAUAUUACUUGGUUUAUAAAUGAAAGUGUAAGCAUUUCACCUCAAGAGUAGUGUGGCAACGCAGGAACUGAAAUCACUAGACCGUUUCUGACCCCAGCAGUGAAGUAUGUUAUUUAAUUCGGUGAUCCACGAAAAACCUUACCACAAUUUGAAUGUUAUUAAAGUUAGUAGUUUAAUCUUCUAAUUUUAACAAUACAAGUGUUGCACGGCUGUUUUCAGUUAAUGUUAUGAAACUGCGGUUCCGACCGUGAAAUUAACGAAUACCCCGGCUUUAUUUACAAUAAUUUAAUAGAGCAUUUUCUGCCCCUCUACAAUGGUAAGAACAAAAGGGAAUAAGACAAGUCAUCAUGGCCUGAAUAUUGUGGGCUAUA
Molecule: ribosomal RNA, 822 nt
Filed under: Apiospora arundinis
Lineage: Eukaryota; Fungi; Ascomycota; Sordariomycetes; Amphisphaeriales; Apiosporaceae
Description: mitochondrial SSU rRNA
Rfam family: Bacterial small subunit ribosomal RNA
Source: RNAcentral